This 258-nucleotide ribosomal RNA is filed under the name uncultured bacterium. RNAcentral describes it as "partial 16S ribosomal RNA". It matches the Rfam family "Bacterial small subunit ribosomal RNA", at positions 793 to 1055 of the family's 1533-position model. The record is from RNAcentral.
GUCCACGCUGUAAACGAUGGAUACUAGCUGUUUGGUUUUCGGACUGAGUGGCUAAGCGAAAGUGAUAAGUAUCCCACCUGGGGAGUACGUUCGCAAGAAUGAAACUCAAAGGAAUUGACGGGGGCCCGCACAAGCGGUGGAGCAUGUGGUUUAAUUCGAUGAUACGCGAGGAACCUUACCAGGGCUUAAAUGUAGAUUGACAGGUUUGGAAACAGACUUUUCUUCGGACAAUUUUACAAGGUGCUGCAUGGUUGUCGU